CCGAUUACUAGUAAAUUGGUGUGUUAAAUUUUUCUUCCAAAUACAUAUAUAAAUUAUUAAGAUUUUGCCUUUUGCUUUUAUACCGAAAAAGCAGAAGGAAUUUUUGGCAAAGGUGGUGAGAGAGGGUAGGACUUUUCCUUUUGUGGAGAGCAAUCGAAAUCGAUUAUCGAUUGGAGAGUGGCCGAGGCAUUUGACUCCCACCCACAUGAACAUGAUGC
Molecule: long non-coding RNA, 218 nt
Filed under: Theobroma cacao (cacao)
Lineage: Eukaryota; Viridiplantae; Streptophyta; Magnoliopsida; Malvales; Malvaceae
Description: long non-coding RNA (TCAC_LNC005713)
Source: RNAcentral